RNAcentral lists this ribosomal RNA (404 nucleotides) under uncultured prokaryote. RNAcentral describes it as "bacterial SSU rRNA". It matches the Rfam family "Bacterial small subunit ribosomal RNA", at positions 355 to 776 of the family's 1533-position model. The record is from RNAcentral. RNAcentral also lists the same sequence under 1 other name.
UGGGGAAUAUUGCACAAUGGGGGAAACCCUGAUGCAGCGAUGCCGCGUGAAGGAAGAAGUAUUUCGGUACGUAAACUUCUAUCAGCAAGGAAGAAAGUGACAGUACUUGACUAAGAAGCCCCGGCUAACUACGUGCCAGCAGCCGCGGUAAUACGUAGGGGGCGAGCGUUAUCCGGAAUUACUGGGUGUAAAGGGUGCGUAGGCGGCACAUUAAGUCUGAUGUGAAAGACCGGAGCUUAACUCCGGGGUUGCAAUGGAAACUGAUGAGCUAGAGUGCAGGAGAGGAAAGCGGAAUUCCUAGUGUAGCGGUGAAAUGCGUAGAUAUUAGGAAGAACACCAGUGGCGAAGGCGGCUUUCUGGACUGAAACUGACGCUGAGGCACGAAAGCGUGGGGAGCAAACAGG